Molecule: ribosomal RNA, 253 nt
Filed under: uncultured bacterium
Lineage: Bacteria
Description: partial 16S ribosomal RNA
Rfam family: Bacterial small subunit ribosomal RNA
Source: RNAcentral
UACAGAGGUUCCAAGCGUUGUUCGGAUUCAUUGGGCGUAAAGGGUGCGUAGGUGGCGCCGUAAGUCGGGUGUGAAAUUUCGGAGCUUAACUCCGAAACUGCAUUCGAUACUGCGGUGCUUGAGGACUGGAGAGGAGACUGGAAUUUACGGUGUAGCGGUGAAAUGCGUAGAUAUCGUAAGGAAGACCAGUGGCGAAGGCGGGUCUCUGGACAGUUCCUGACGCUGAAGCACGAAGGCCAGGGGAGCAAACGGG